GCCGGGCAUUGUGGCGCAUGCCUGUAAUCCCACCUACUUGGGAGGCUGAGGCAGGAGAAUCACUUGAACCUGGGAGGUGGAGGUUGUAGUGAGCCAAGAUUGUGCCACUGUACUCUAGCCUGGGCGACAGACUCCAGCCUGGGUAACAGAGUGAGAUGCUGCUUUUU
RNAcentral lists this non-coding RNA (167 nucleotides) under Chlorocebus sabaeus (green monkey). The record is from Rfam by way of RNAcentral. Lineage: Eukaryota; Metazoa; Chordata; Mammalia; Primates; Cercopithecidae.